This 146-nucleotide unclassified non-coding RNA is filed under the name uncultured Leohumicola. RNAcentral describes it as "sequence contains ITS2". Lineage: Eukaryota; Fungi; Ascomycota; Leotiomycetes. The record is from RNAcentral.
UAACCCUCAAGCCUAGCUUGGUGUUGGGGCUUGCUGUUACCGGCAGCCCUUAAAACUAGUGGCGGUGCCACCUGGCUCUAAGCGUAGUAAUACUUCUCGCUAUAGAGUCCCGGUGGAUGCUUGCCAUCAACCCCCUCACUUUCUAA